ACGCUCGACACCUACGGAGGCAGCAGUUAGGAAUAUUGGGCAAUGGAGGAAACUCUGACCCAGCAACGCCGCGUGAAGGAAGAAGGUUUUCGGAUUGUAAACUUCUGAUCUAGGGGAAGAAGGAAGUGACGGUACCCUAGGAGAAAGCCACGGCUAACUACGUGCCAGCAGCCGCGGUAAUCUGAGCGGGCUGGCAAGGC
Molecule: ribosomal RNA, 200 nt
Filed under: uncultured bacterium
Lineage: Bacteria
Description: partial 16S ribosomal RNA
Rfam family: Bacterial small subunit ribosomal RNA
Source: RNAcentral